This 499-nucleotide ribosomal RNA is filed under the name uncultured bacterium. RNAcentral describes it as "partial 16S ribosomal RNA". It matches the Rfam family "Bacterial small subunit ribosomal RNA", at positions 30 to 523 of the family's 1533-position model. The record is from RNAcentral.
AUUGAACGCUGGCGGCAUGCCUUACACAUGCAAGUCGAACGGCAGCACGGGAGCAAUCCUGGUGGCGAGUGGCGAACGGGUGAGUAAAGUAUCGGAACGUGCCCAGUCGUGGGGGAUAACGUAGCGAAAGUUACGCUAAUACCGCAUACGAUCUAUGGAUGAAAGCGGGGGAUCGCAAGACCUCGCGCGAUUGGAGCGGCCGAUAUCAGAUUAGGUAGUUGGUGGGGUAAAGGCUCACCAAGCCGACGAUCUGUAGCUGGUCUGAGAGGACGACAGCCACACUGGGACUGAGACACGGCCCAGACUCCUACGGGAGGCAGCAGUGGGGAAUUUUGGACAAUGGGCGAAAGCCUGAUCCAGCCAUGCCGCGUGCAGGAUGAAGGCCUUCGGGUUGUAAACUGCUUCUGUACGGAACGAAAAGGUUUGGGCUAAUAAGCUGAGCUCAUGACGGUACCGUAAGAAUAAGCACCGGCUAACUACGUGCCAGCAGCCGCCGUAA